This 29-nucleotide non-coding RNA is filed under the name Homo sapiens (human). The record is from RNAcentral. Lineage: Eukaryota; Metazoa; Chordata; Mammalia; Primates; Hominidae.
UGAUGGAGAGCCCUGUGCUGAGAUGAAAU